GGGAGCUUAGCUCAUUGGUAGAGUACUUGCCUGCCAUACAAAAGGCCCUGGGUUUCAAACCCAGUACUUUUU
Molecule: transfer RNA, 72 nt
Filed under: Heterocephalus glaber (naked mole-rat)
Lineage: Eukaryota; Metazoa; Chordata; Mammalia; Rodentia; Bathyergidae
Rfam family: tRNA
About the family: Transfer RNA (tRNA) molecules are approximately 80 nucleotides in length. Their secondary structure includes four short double-helical elements and three loops (D, anti-codon, and T loops).
Source: Rfam by way of RNAcentral